UUGCUCGGCCCCGCCUCCCGCGCUCGGCCACCGGAUUGACUGGUCGCGUUCCCCGUCGCGCUCGGUGCUCCGGAGCAGAGCCAUGGCUACUUUCCGAUUGGCGCUCAUCCAGCUUCACGUUUCUUCCAUUAAAUCAGAUAACAUUGCCCGGGCUUGUAGCCUCGUCCGGGAGGCAGCCAAGCAAGGUGCCAAAGUGGUCUCCCUGCCGGAAUGCUUUAAUUCUCCAUAUGGAACAAACUACUUUCCUGAAUAUGCAGAGAAGAUUCCUGGAGAGUCCACACAGAAGCUCUCUGAAGUAGCAAAGGAGAAUAGCGUUUAUCUCAUUGGAGGCUCCAUCCCUGAAGAGGAUGCUGGGAAACUGUAUAACACCUGUGCUGUGUUUGGGCCUGAUGGAAGUUUAUUGGUAAAGCACAGAAAGAUCCAUCUGUUUGACAUUGAUGUUCCUGGGAAAAUUACAUUUCAAGAAUCUAAAACAUUGAGUCCUGGUGACAGUCUCUCCACAUUUGACACUCCUUACUGCAAAGUAGGCCUGGGCAUCUGCUACGAUAUGCGCUUCGCAGAACUGGCACAAAUCUAUGCACAGAGAGGCUGCCAGCUCUUAGUGUAUCCCGGAGCUUUCAAUCUGACCACUGGACCUGCCCACUGGGAGUUGCUCCAGCGAGCCCGGGCUGUUGAUAAUCAAGUGUACGUGGCUACAGCCUCUCCUGCCCGGGAUGACAAAGCCUCAUAUGUGGUCUGGGGACACAGCACUGUUGUGGAUCCUUGGGGACAGGUCCUAACCAAAGCUGGCACUGAAGAAAUGAUCCUAUACUCAGACAUAGACCUGAAGAAGCUGGCUGAAAUUCGGCAGCAAAUUCCCAUUUUAAAACAGAAAAGAACAGACCUUUAUGCAGUAGAGACAAAGAAGCCCUGAAAUUUGUUCCUGACAUAUCACAAGCAGGAUGGUUCUAAGCUCUUGUUGCACAGGGAAUAAAAGCUGCAAGACUGCAAACUUCCUUCAACAGCCACGCCCACAACACCUAAACAUGAAACAGAUGUAAUGAAUGACAACAUCACAAAGGGAAUACCAAGUUCCACCAUUCAACACAGUUCAUGACAGUGUGUUCAGGGUUCAGUUGAAGAGGGGCAUAUGGCUAACAUCAUGAACUACAGAUCUACAAAAUUUAGCAGAACCAGCAAUGCCAAUCAUUUAAUUUUAAGAUUACCAGUGUAAGAAAAUAGAAGCAAUUAUAUUAAAAUCAGAUCGAAAGCAAAAAGUUCCCACUGACUGAAAACAUGCUUUCUAUAGUAUCAAAGACAAGAAGUCAUUAGGAAUGCCACUGUCCUGGACAAGCAGAAAAACCUUAAAGAAAUUUAUAGCAUUGCUAAUUGUUCAUCAGCGUAUAAAUGAGAAUCACCCUGCACUUA
Molecule: RNA transcript, 1407 nt
Organism: Peromyscus eremicus (cactus mouse)
Lineage: Eukaryota; Metazoa; Chordata; Mammalia; Rodentia; Cricetidae
Gene: Nit2
Gene name: nitrilase family member 2
Exons: 14
Source: RefSeq, a predicted model, not a curated record